GACGAACGCUGGCGGCGUGCUUAACACAUGCAAGUCGAACGGAAAGGCCCUGCUUUUGUGGGGUGCUCGAGUGGCGAACGGGUGAGUAACACGUGAGUAACCUUCCCUUGACUUUGGGAUAACUUCAGGAAACUGGGGCUAAUACCGGAUAGGAGCUCCUGCUGCAUGGUGGGGGUUGGAAAGUUUCGGCGGUUGGGGAUGGACUCGCGGCUUAUCAGCUUGUUGGUGGGGUAGUGGCUUACCAAGGCUUUGACGGGUAGCCGGCCUGAGAGGGUGACCGGCCACAUUGGGACUGAGAUACGGCCCAGACUCCUACGGGAGGCAGCAGUGGGGAAUAUUGCACAAUGGGCGGAAGCCUGAUGCAGCAACGCCGCGUGCGGGAUGAAGGACUUCGGGUUGUAAACCGCUUUCGCCUGUGACGAAGCGUGAGUGACGGUAAUGGGUAAAGAAGCACCGGCUAACUACGUG
RNAcentral lists this ribosomal RNA (468 nucleotides) under uncultured bacterium. RNAcentral describes it as "partial 16S ribosomal RNA". It matches the Rfam family "Bacterial small subunit ribosomal RNA", at positions 28 to 507 of the family's 1533-position model. The record is from RNAcentral.